GACGAACGCUGGCGGCGUGCUUAACACAUGCAAGUCGUACGGUAAGGCCCUUUCGGGGGUACACGAGUGGCGAACGGGUGAGUAACACGUGAGUAACCUGCCCACAACUUUGGGAUAACGCUAGGAAACUGGUGCUAAUACUGGAUAUGUGCUCCUGCUGCAUGGUGGGGGUUGGAAAGCUCCGGCGGUUGUGGAUGGACUCGCGGCCUAUCAGCUUGUUGGUGGGGUAGUGGCCUACCAAGGCGGCGACGGGUAGCCGGCCUGAGAGGGUGACCGGCCACAUUGGGACUGAGAUACGGCCCAGACUCCUACGGGAGGCAGCAGGGGGGAAUAUUGCACAAUGGGCGCAAGCCUGAUGCAGCAACGCCGCGGGCGGGAGGACGGCCUUCGGGUUGGAAACCGCUUUCAGCAGGGACGAAGCUUUUUGUGACGAUACCUGCAGAAGAAGCACCGGCUAACUACGUG
RNAcentral lists this ribosomal RNA (465 nucleotides) under uncultured bacterium. RNAcentral describes it as "partial 16S ribosomal RNA". It matches the Rfam family "Bacterial small subunit ribosomal RNA", at positions 28 to 507 of the family's 1533-position model. The record is from RNAcentral.